GCUGGGCAUGAUGGCUCAUGCCUGUAAUCCCAGCACUUUGGGAGGCUGAGGUGGGUGGAUCACCUGAGGUCAGGAGUUCGAGACCAGCCUGGCCAACAUGGUGAAACCCCAUCUCUA
Molecule: signal recognition particle RNA, 117 nt
Filed under: Chlorocebus sabaeus (green monkey)
Lineage: Eukaryota; Metazoa; Chordata; Mammalia; Primates; Cercopithecidae
Description: Metazoan signal recognition particle RNA
Rfam family: Metazoan signal recognition particle RNA
About the family: The signal recognition particle (SRP) is a universally conserved ribonucleoprotein.
Source: Rfam by way of RNAcentral